Molecule: transfer RNA, 85 nt
Filed under: Saprospiraceae bacterium
Lineage: Bacteria; Pseudomonadati; Bacteroidota; Saprospiria; Saprospirales; Saprospiraceae
Also listed under: 1 other name
Description: tRNA-Leu
Rfam family: tRNA
About the family: Transfer RNA (tRNA) molecules are approximately 80 nucleotides in length. Their secondary structure includes four short double-helical elements and three loops (D, anti-codon, and T loops). Further hydrogen bonds mediate the characteristic L-shaped molecular structure. tRNAs have two regions of fundamental functional importance: the anti-codon, which is responsible for specific mRNA codon recognition, and the 3' end, to which the tRNAs corresponding amino acid is attached (by aminoacyl-tRNA synthetases). tRNAs cope with the degeneracy of the genetic code in two manners: having more than one tRNA (with a specific anti-codon) for a particular amino acid; and 'wobble' base-pairing, i.e. permitting non-standard base-pairing at the 3rd anti-codon position.
Source: RNAcentral
GCGCACGUGGCGGAAUUGGUAGACGCGCAAGGUUGAGGGCCUUGUGUCCGAUUAGGACGUGCUGGUUCGACUCCAGUCGUGCGCA